GUGGGUAUAGCUCAGUGGUAGAGUGCAUGCCUAGCAUGCACAAGGUCCUGGGUUCAAUCCUUGGUACCUCCA
RNAcentral lists this transfer RNA (72 nucleotides) under Camelus bactrianus (Bactrian camel). It matches the Rfam family "tRNA". From Rfam's summary of the family: Transfer RNA (tRNA) molecules are approximately 80 nucleotides in length. RNAcentral also lists the same sequence under 2 other names. The record is from Rfam by way of RNAcentral. Lineage: Eukaryota; Metazoa; Chordata; Mammalia; Artiodactyla; Camelidae.